CGGGGUGGAUUAGUGGCGAACGGGUGAGUAACACGUGGGCAAUCUGCCCUUCACUCUGGGACAAGCCCUGGAAACGGGGUCUAAUACCGGAUAACACUCCUGCCUGCAUGGGUGGGGGUUAAAAGCUCCGGCGGUGAAGGAUGAGCCCGCGGCCUAUCAGCUUGUUGGUGAGGUAGUGGCUCACCAAGGCGACGACGGGUAGCCGGCCUGAGAGGGCGACCGGCCACACUGGGACUGAGACACGGCCCAGACUCCUACGGGAGGCAGCAGUGGGGAAUAUUGCACAAUGGGCGAAAGCCUGAUGCAGCGACGCCGCGUGAGGGAUGACGGCCUUCGGGUUGUAAACCUCUUUCAGCAGGGAAGAAGCGAAAGUGACGGUACCUGCAGAAGAAGCGCCGGCUAACUACGUGCCAGCAGCCGCGGUAAUACGUAGGGCGCAAGCGUUGUCCGGAAUUAUUGGGCGUAAAGAGCUCGUAGGCGGCUUGUCACGUCGGUUGUGAAAGCCCGGGGCUUAACCCCGGGUCUGCAGUCGAUACGGGCAGGCUAGAGUGUGGUAGGGGAGAUCGGAAUUCCUGGUGUAGCGGUGAAAU
RNAcentral lists this ribosomal RNA (590 nucleotides) under Streptomyces sp. SCAU7011. RNAcentral's name for it is "bacterial SSU rRNA". It matches the Rfam family "Bacterial small subunit ribosomal RNA", at positions 83 to 687 of the family's 1533-position model. The record is from RNAcentral. Lineage: Bacteria; Bacillati; Actinomycetota; Actinomycetes; Kitasatosporales; Streptomycetaceae.